This 30-nucleotide non-coding RNA is filed under the name Mus musculus (house mouse). Lineage: Eukaryota; Metazoa; Chordata; Mammalia; Rodentia; Muridae. The record is from RNAcentral.
UGCAUGAAGGAACAUUGCAUACUUAACGGU